UGGGGAAUAUUGCGCAAUGGGGGCAACCCUGACGCAGCAACGCCGCGUGAUUGAAGAAGGCCUCGGUUGUAAGAUCUUAAUUAGGGACGGAAAAAUAGACGGUACCUAAAGAAUAAGCUCCGGCUAACUACGUGCC
RNAcentral lists this ribosomal RNA (136 nucleotides) under uncultured bacterium. RNAcentral's name for it is "partial 16S ribosomal RNA". It matches the Rfam family "Bacterial small subunit ribosomal RNA", at positions 355 to 509 of the family's 1533-position model. The record is from RNAcentral.